RNAcentral lists this ribosomal RNA (496 nucleotides) under uncultured bacterium. RNAcentral describes it as "partial 16S ribosomal RNA". It matches the Rfam family "Bacterial small subunit ribosomal RNA", at positions 28 to 506 of the family's 1533-position model. The record is from RNAcentral.
GAUGAACGCUGGCGGCGUGCCUAAUACAUGCAAGUUGAGCGAACGGACGAGAAGCUUGCUUCUCUGAUGUUAGCGGCGGACGGGUGAGUAACACGUGGAUAACCUACCUAUAAGACUGGGAUAACUUCGGGAAACCGGAGCUAAUACCGGAUAAUAUUUUGAACCGCAUGGUUCAAAAGUGAAAGACGGUCUUGCUGUCACUUAUAGAUGGAUCCGCGCUGCAUUAGCUAGUUGGUAAGGUAACGGCUUACCAAGGCAACGAUGCAUAGCCGACCUGAGAGGGGGAUCGGCCACCCGGGAACUGAGACCCGGUCCGGACCCCUACGGGAGGCAGCAGGAGGGAAUCUUCCGCAAGGGGCGAAAGCCUGACGGAGCAACGCCGGGUGGGUGAGGAAGGUCUUCGGUUCGUAAAACUCUUUUUUUAGGGAAAAACAUAGGUUUAAGUAACGGUGCCCAUCUGGACGGAACCUAAGAAGAAAGCCCCGGCAAACUACGG